GUCCGCCAGAAAAUUACGAGCGAAAGCCUAAAACUCAAAAGACUUGACGGUGUCCCAACCUACCUAGAGGAGCCUGUUCCAUAAUCGAUAACCCCCGAUAAACCUAACCACCCCUUGAAAUAUCAGCCUAUAUACCGCCGUCGACAGCCCACCUUCUAAAAGAAACAAAGCAGGCUAAAUAGAAUAUCUCUAAAAAGUCAGGUCAAGGUGUAGCUAAUGGGGUGGAGACAAUGGGCUACAUUUUUUAAAAUAAAAUAUACGAAUUAGUAUUUUGAAACAAAACUAUAAAGGUGGAUUUAGCAGUAAGUCAAAAAAUAAUACUUG
This 324-nucleotide ribosomal RNA is filed under the name Psilops paeminosus. RNAcentral's name for it is "partial 12S ribosomal RNA". It matches the Rfam family "Bacterial small subunit ribosomal RNA", at positions 867 to 1362 of the family's 1533-position model. Lineage: Eukaryota; Metazoa; Chordata; Lepidosauria; Squamata; Gymnophthalmidae. The record is from RNAcentral.